AGUUCUGGGCCGCACGCGCGCUACACUGACAGAGCCAACGAGUUCUUCACCUUGGCCGAAAGGUCUGGGUAAUCUUGUUAAACUCUGUCGUGCUGGGGAUAGAGCAUUGCAAUUAUUGCUCUUCAACGAGGAAUGCCUAGUAAGCGCGUGUCAUCAGCAUGCGUUGAUUACGUCCCUGACCUUUGUACACACCGCCCGUCGCUACUACCGAUUGAAUGGCUCAGUGAGGCGUUCGGACUGGCUCGGGGAGGUUGGCAACGACCACCCCAAGCCGGAAAGUUCGUCAAACUCGGUCAUUUAGAGGAAGUAAAAGUCGUAACAAGGUCUCCGUAGGUGAACCUGCGGAGGGAUCAUUACACAAUACAAUAUGAAGGCUGUCCGCAGCUGGAGUAUUUUAUUACCCUUGUCUUUUGCGCACUUGUUGUUUCCUGGGCGGGUUCGCUCGCCACCAGGACCACCAAAUAAACCUUUUUUAUGCAGUUGCAAUCAGCGUCAGUACAAACAAUGUAAAUCAUUUACAACUUUCAACAACGGAUCUCUUGGUUCUGGCAUCGAUGAAGAACGCAGCGAAAUGCGAUACGUAGUGUGAAUUGCAGAAUUCAGUGAAUCAUCGAAUCUUUGAACGCACAUUGCGCCCUUUGGUAUUCCAAAGGGCAUGCCUGUUCGAGCGUCAUUUGUACCCUCAAGCUUUGCUUGGUGUUGGGGCGUUUUUGUCUUUGGUCGCCCAAAGACUCGCCUUAAAGUGAUUGGCAGCCCGGCCUUUCUGGUUUCCAGCGCAACACAUUUUUGCGCUUGGCAUCAGCAAGAACGGCAAUCCAUCAAGCCUCCCUCUCACGUUUGACCUCGGACAGGUAGGGAUACCCCUGAACUUAGCCUAUCAUAACGGAGGAAAAAAACCACAGGAUGCCUAAUACCGCGAUGACGCCACACUCAAUGAAUUG
RNAcentral lists this ribosomal RNA (941 nucleotides) under Pleosporaceae sp. LM156. RNAcentral's name for it is "eukaryotic LSU rRNA". The stretch from base 1 to 356 matches the Rfam family "Eukaryotic small subunit ribosomal RNA", at positions 1478 to 1831 of the family's 1831-position model. Lineage: Eukaryota; Fungi; Ascomycota; Dothideomycetes; Pleosporales; Pleosporaceae. The record is from RNAcentral.